Molecule: non-coding RNA, 7860 nt
Organism: Rattus norvegicus (Norway rat)
Lineage: Eukaryota; Metazoa; Chordata; Mammalia; Rodentia; Muridae
Source: RefSeq, a predicted model, not a curated record
UAUGGGUAGUCUCGAGAAGUAAGGGAUUAUGGGUAGUCUCAAGGAGUUAAGAGGGCUCCAGCAAGAAGAGAAAGCACCUGAGCUUUAGCACCAAGGAACUAAAACCCCAGGGCACUGUGGGGGAAAUCAGAACUGGGUAUUUUCUGGUCAAGCUUCUAAAUGAGAAUCAUGCUUCAGCCACAAGGCCCUGACACACCAGAGGCUUGGCCACCACUCUGAGGUAAUAAAUCUGCCCUCAUGUGUUAAGUCUGUGGUCCUUUGUUAUGCCGAGGUAAAAUUCCAACAGAGAGCUUCAGCAGUAGCACGGAUUCAUUUUCAGACUAAAAGGAAGAGGCUGCUACCUGCCAGGAAGUCACAGGUGGCUUAUAGGACCGGAGCCAUAGGGAAACUUAGAACCAGGUGAAACUGGUUCCUCCAUGGGAACUGGCCUCACUCUGGUGCUGUUCUGAGGACUUCCAACUGCUGAAAAUCUUGUCUCUUGUGCUCCACGUGUGGUGAGGGCCACAGGACAGCCGUGAUAAUGACAGGAUGUCACAAGUAUCCCUUUGUGUUUGGGUCUCUUUACAGUUAUCAAAGCUGAUUCAUUUGUUGGCUUCUUUAAUUCUCCCGGAUCCCUAAGGGAAUUGUUAAUAUUUUCACAACGAAACAAAAUGAAAACAGAUCGUUGAGUGUUCUCUACGGCUACAUAGUUAUUAAAGGCUGUUGGAGAACCAGUCCUAAGGCUCCUGGCUCUCUCCAGAGAGAAGCAGAGGAGAGAAAGAGAAAAACAAAAACCAACCAACCAAACAGAAAAACAAUAGCUGUCUUCCUUGUGUCCUUUGGAGUGUCCCCGGCAGGAUCAAGUGUUGGGUACCAGGCCUUAGGUUGUGGUGCUGUUCUGAAGACUGUUAAGCCUGUAGGAGCCGAGAUGGAGGUGGUCCUAGAGAGAGAGCAGGUCUUCGAAAGCUAUACUUACACCCUUGGCGUCUCCUCCCCCUCUCUGCUUCCAGUCAGCCACCUCAUGAUCCAACUACCUGCAUUGGAUGGAGUCUCCCAAGUUUGGCUUCCCUACCGUGAGGGGUUCAAAUCCUCCUGAAUGAUGAUUCACAAUAAACCUCCUUUUAAAGGCUGUUAGGUACUUUGGUCACAGUGAUGCAAAAGUUUCACACAGUCACAAGAGGAUGCCUCAGAGGAGCUGGACUCACAGAGUAAUUCUGGCAUCAAGGAGAAUGGCUUCCUAGCAAACCCCGUUUGAGCUGAGCUCAACCAGGAACAGGCGAACCAUGCAGCUCUCUGAAUCCUUUCUGAGGGAAGGAUGGAGCUGUUACCCAAAGCCUCCACCGUAAGUCGUCCCUAGGGUACUCCCUCCUAUGCCUUUGUCCUUCUCUUCCUCUUCCUCUGCCUCCUCCUCUUCCUUCUCCCCUACUGACACCUACCUGUUCAUGCCUGCCGCUUCACCCCCAGUCUUUGCUCACUGAGUGACGACACCAUGCAGAGUUAUGAAUGGACAGUAGCAGUUUCAUAUUCCUGUCACCAAACCAGCAGAGUACAUUUCCUCACAGUUCCAAUGCAAAGGAGGCAUCCUAAUUAUGCAGUGUGGAUCUGAGCCUUUAAAAUCUACAUAGGUGAGCUGUCUGCUCCAGAAAACAGCCCAGCAUUCCACAGGGAGGUUCCGCAUCUAGGAUUAGCCCCUUUCUCCUCAAAAUAACUAUCAAGCCAGCCACACGCGUAAAUGCUGGAUGUUACUCCCCCUCGGAAGCGAGUAGUUUCUUUGUCUUACGGAGGGCCUCAGAUGGAAAGGGUCAUCAGAAAAGCCUAAGGUUUCUACAGAUUUUGUGAAACACCUGUGCUAGACACUUCUGGAAUCCACCAGUCACCAGCUCUCCUUCCUUCUCCACAAUGCUUCCAGACCUCUUGCAGACUUCAUGGCUGCCUGUGAGGAUAUUCAUCAUGGUCACCUUGUAAAGUCCAGGCUCUCUCCUGUCCCACCACAAUUGCCAAGAGGAACAUAAGUUCUAGGAGUUGCAGCCAUGGGUGAAGGCAGCCAUCCAUCCUGAGCCUGGGUUUUUGAUGACCACAUAGAGUGUGGUAGCCCCUUUCAGGGUCACUUACAUAGCUGAGGUGUUUUUAUUGCACCAAAUAUUAAGAUCAAAGGCUGAUGAGUUCUUGCUAUUAUGGAACUUUGCUUAUUAAAAAACUUCAUAUUAACUUAUUUUGCUGGUGGCUGAGUGAGUUCACUUGCAAAAGUUAGGGGACAAUUUGGGGGAGUCAGAUUUCUCCCUUCACCAUAUAGGUCACAGGGAUUGAACUCAGGUCAUCAAGCUUGGCAGCAAGCCCCUAUAUUGGCUAAGCCAUCUCACUGACCCCAAAUUCAUCACUGAAGUUCAUCCCUCCUUUCACUGCACUGAGCCUGUCUCCCCUUCAUCCUAGUGUGGACAUACAGGAAGCACUAGAGUAGAGAGAACAGCUUUGUCAGUUUUUGGGUGUGAAUGCCAUCGAGUUAGGUGGGGGUGGUGGGCGGGCUGGUUGACUUACCCCAGUGAAGAAGACCUCACUGCAAGGCAUUCACCCUAUUCACAGCCAGCGAUGGCUUGCACUAGGAGGGGCAUGGAGAACUGAACUGUGGAUCUUCUCAUUGUAGAGUCCCUACACAGGAGCAGCAAAAACUUAAGACCCUGGAAAACGGCAGCAGCCUGCCUUAGUGUUUAUUCCAGAACUCUCCACAGCCGUGUGUACACACUGGGCUUUUGCUCUCAGCUACCAAGGUGGGUUGAUGUGCAGAACAACCUUCGGCCAACAGUCGUGUUCUCCAAAGGUAACGGAAGCAGCGGGGCAAGUGUUUACAGUCUCUGUAGCCUCUGCUUCGGAGAAAGCUCUGAUGACCAGCUUCUCUUUCCAGUUCCUGUGCGUGGGAUGGCAGGCGCGGGAACCAGCAACCCAGCUCCAAGUAUGUAGAUAAGUGCAGUGCCCAUGGGUACAGCUGAACCGGGACCUGGCACUGUGUGACUCUGUGGAGCUCAAUGAGUAACUUACAGGACUUGGCUCUCUGCUUUGGCAACUUUCCAGGAAUUGGACACAUGUCCUCAAGCUUGGGGACAAGCCCCUUUACCCACUGAGCCCCAAACAUUGACACUUGCUGCCUCACACAUGGUGGGUGAAGAAUCACCACGAGGGCUUGCACGCCUGGAAAGGGGAGUUUAAGUGGGCACAUGAAACGUUCAACUUCAGUCUUCUGUUAGGAACUGUUCUCGUCUGGUUUGUAAGUCAUCUCAAGUCACUUUCCUGCAGUGAUGCAGUCAGAAGGUCUCAAACGGUGACACCCCUGGUGGCUCUAUCUUGGGACUGUGUUGCCUAGACAGUGAAAGUGGACCUCCGGGAUGGGUCUCGGAAGCUGUUCGGCCCCUCUGAUUCCCAUCUAAAUCAGCCUCCUGGUCAGCAAUGGAGCCUUACACCCCAGCUGACACAUCAGGACUUGCUCCAGCUGUCACACCAUCCCCACAGGAUGGACCCCGAACCCCUGAAACCAUCAGAUAAAAUAUCUGAGAUUUUAUCACAGCGGUGAGAAACAAUGAUCGUGCAGCUAACAACCAAUACAGAGGACAUUUAGACCAGAGAACCAUAGCCACGAGCCAACAUUUAUAACUGCUGCAUAACGCUGCCUGCACGCAGCAGAGGAAUGAAUGGGAGACCAGGCGUUCAAAGCCUAAUUGUGGGCUAGCAUGUGAAGUCUCCUCAAAGAGGCUCCUUUGCUUAAGCUCCCACCGAUAGCAAGGCUAAGCGUUGAGCCACUCAGCUGAGAAGUAUUUCUGUCAAUUAAGUCAAACAUCUGGUUAAUGUGGCGUUAAAAUCAGUCACCAGGGGCUGGCCACCGCCCCAGGCCUCCUCCCCAAGCCCCAGUAAUGGAGGAGAUACCUUCUUAUUCCCAGGCCCUGAUUUGCAUACCCUUCUCUGAUUGGUGGGUGAGUCUAGCCUUGUCCCCAGGCCCUCCGGUGAGCCCGGGAAAAGCCAAUCUGUGGGCUCUGAAUUGUCUGUCGGAAUGACAGCUGGAUGGAUUCCCAAACCGGGUGGCAGGUUCCUCAAAAGCACAAAUUGCCAUAAUAAAUGCUGAUUGUCCCAAUUACCUCUAAUUGUCUAGCUCUGUAGCAGGAGCAUUACCAGAGACGAGGUCUGCAUGGGAGAGGGUCUAUUUGGCAGAUAACCCCAUCCAGGGAGCUUCGGUGGCAGAGGAAGUGAGUGAGCUGGCCCACAGAACGUCCCUCUGAUAGAAAGGGCCCUGCAGUAGAUCAACCAGAAAGAUGAGGGGGCUUCAUAAGCCCCAGCUGCGGAGGGACAGCGUCCACACUGACAUCUUCAUGUGACAGUCGUUAAACGCUCUUGUUAAAACUGGCCAUGUGCUAAAGAGAUAAGGGCCGAGAAUAAAUGUCUGGUCUCCAUCCUUGUAGCCAGUUGGGUCUGUGGGAAAGCUAGGGGAGAGGGAUGGCUGCUGACUGAGAGAAUGAACGGAUUGUUUUCAUUGUAAUGUAGCAUUUACUUCAUCUAUUCAUUGCAUCAACUAGCCGAACUUUCCAGUAGGAGGCGCUGCAUGCGAAGCCCCUUAAAACACAGAAAUGUAGACAUUCCAAACAUAAAAACUCAUACAUAUUGUGUGUGUGUGUGUGUGUGUGUGUGUGUGUGUGUGUGUGUGUGUGUGUUAUUCAUUUAUUCCUGUGGUAAAUAAUUCCUAAAACCUGUAUCACAUGCCAGGCGGUGUUGAAGACUCCCAAAUGCAUCUGUGAAUAAAAUAGGCCACUAACCAUACAAAACUGGAGCCUCCUGACUACAGUAAGAGAAAGUUCAGCAACACUAUCUCAGAAGGCAGAGGUGCUAAAGGGAUAGACGGACAGAGGACAGGGUGCUGAGAGGAUGGCUUGGCGGUAAAGAGUACUGGUUACUCUUGCAGAGGACCCAACUUUGGCUCCCCACCCCCAAGUCAGACGUCUCACAACUGCCUAUGGCUCCAAUUCUGGGGGUCCAAUGACUUCUGGACUCCAUGAAGCAAACGCAUGCAUGGCAUAUACGUGUACACACACACACACACACACACACACACACACACAAAAGUAAUGAAAAUUAAUCUUACUGGUGGACAUGAGUAAGAUCUGAGGAUGAAAGAAAGCCAGAGCUUUACCUGUCGUAGCAAGGAUAUUGGAGGCACCCCUCCAAAAACAAAACACCGCCCCGAAGGAACUAGGAAAACGUAGAUAGAGUACAGACACAGUCUUUAGCCCUGCAGAAUUGUGUUAGCGGAGGUCUCGUCUGUAGGUAUGCAGGUUACUUUUCAAUAGCUUGGGUAAGAACACAAGUCUGGCUGAGACUUCUUAAUUCUGUUACAGUAUUGAUUACGGCAGAAAAAAUGCAAAGUGUGCGAUUUAUGCAUGCCUUGGUGAAAUUAAAACCUCACCAUUUAUUGAAAGAGCAGUAAUUACUCUAACGAACUCAGGGCGCCCUGAGUAAAAUCAAGGAGUGGCACUCUCACUGGCUGUUGGAGAGAGAAACAGGAGCUGAGAGGAAGAAUCUGAAAAGAGCUAGCCUGUGUUCCCACGCUAACUCCCGCUUGGCCCCAGGGGCCAAGUGCAGAGUUGUGGAAGUGUGGGAGGGUGGUAGACAGGACUGGGACGGUUUCGAACAAACUGAUGCUGGCCACCCAUGCUGUCUUGCAGGGCUGCAGGGUCCCUCUCGGCUUUGCCUGCAGAUGCAUCCUAACCAAUGGCUGGAGUGCGGACGAGAUGGUUGAGCUGCACCAUCCUGGACCCUAGACAGACACCCUCACAGAGAGGCACCAGCAGGUUUUGUGUGAUUGCCAACAGGUGCCCUGUAUGCACAGAGACUGCAUCCUUGAGCCUAUCCAAGUCUACAGGAAGCAGGAAGACUACGCCAUUUGGAGGAAGACCCUGGAUUUCCGAGGAAAAGAUGAGUCUCAGAGCAUGGACCAAAGCCAGCGAGGAGGGGAGGAUCCUUUGGCUCUCUAGUUCUCACAUACUGAUCACCUUGGAGGCUGUGGGCUAUAACAGGGCCACACCCUCAUGGAGCAUGCAAUUCCUUCCCCCUCCUGCAUGGGAAGCCUGCCAGCCCCAAGAAUCCAUGCUGCGGCAGAACCCGAUUUGGCAUACAAUUUGACUUUUAUUUUAGAGGCUGUUUCUAGGAAAAUUUCAAGGACUCCUGAGACCUGAUAAUCUGGAUAUGGGCAUAGCACCGCCACCCCUAGCCCCGCCCCUGCGCAGCCUUUGUACAAGGCAGGGGCUGAAAGUCAACAUUGAUUUAGUGCUUGCUGUAUUAUAUGCCUGGCCUGAGAACUCUUUUAGUCGUUAUCCACAGCCCUACCCUGUCAGCAGCAGUACUUUUUUGGUUUUUGAUAGAGGCUAAAAGGAUGAGGCCUAAUGAUACAAGGAACGAGUGGUCAGAAAUCAGCCCAGGAUCCAUCUAGGACCAUAGUUUACAGUUAUGCGAUGCUCGGGGUUUGAAUCCCAAUUCCUUAACCUGCUUGCUGAGUGACCUUGGAUGAGUUCCUUGACUUCUCUGGGCCUCCCUUCCUUCCCUAGGACUGAGAAGCCUCCUCUGCAGAGCUCUGAUGAGGAAUUAUCAAUAACACAGGCGCUACGUGGGGCCCGCCAGCCAGGGCAGAAACACUCUGGGAGUUACUGUUUGUGACAGAGAGGCCUAUCAGACUGCUGACUGGGCACUUAGCUGUAAAAUCCAAUUACUCCGAAAUUCUCAGUAACUAAGACAGAGCCUAAAAUAAUAUCCCCACGGACGUUUUCAAAGCUUUGGGAUGAGGGUACCCAUCAGUGCACACACAUCCCACCCUGGGGACAGAGACCAAAACCCCUUAGCUAUUCAUCUGUCUGCUUUCUUGUCAGGGAGAAAAGGCACCUUCAAGGAACAGAGGCCCAGGGAUUCUGGUAUGCAGCACUCACAGAGGCAGGCAGAGCUUGGGAGGAACUAUCUCCUCCCAUCUACCAGGCUCCUCAGUGAGGAGACCUCACGACCUGUUGCAGGUGCCUAGUCAGAGAGGUACCUCUAUGCCUGUAGGUGAAGGGCGAGAGUGGCAUCUAAGUUCCAUCUAAAGCCCCCAAAGCCUGUGAUUGAUCCCUGCUGCACCGCAGAUCAUGCCUGAAGCACCAGCCUAGCCAUGGGAAGGCUGGGUACUAGGAUUCUCCCCCAAUCACUGGGCAGUUGAGGCAUGAGGGCGCUACCCAGCUUGUCCAAGCUUGAGGCUUAUGGAUAGAGACAGGGACAUUUUUAGAUGGGAUGGAAGUCUUGGGCCUGAAAAGUUUUGCUGUGGGGGUAUUUGGCAAGACCUGCCUAGAAGCAGGCCUGGAUGACCCAGCUUCUCAAAGCAGGUUCCGGAAGGCACUGUGUGGGUAGACCAGCAUCAGGAGAGGGAGUGGGACCUGGGGGCUACACGGCACAGUCAUCACCAGCCUUGCAGAUUGAUCCAUAUUGUUGUCUCUGUGGGGUCCACCAUCCCUGCCUGCGUAGCCUCCUCCAGCACUCCAAGGCCCCCACUUCUCUUCCCGGUGAAGAGCGUAAAGAUAGAAAAUAAAAUCAUCAAACUUGUCCUUUUCCCUUUUCAAAGAUGUCCCUGCUCUGCAGUUGCCAUGGUGACACCUGCCAGCUUUUCUGAAUUCAGAACUCGAAGCCCUCCAGUGGCCUUAGCAGCCUGCCCCCACUUCCUUCUCCUGCCCACCUUCCACUUAGCUCAGGCCCCACCCACUCCAGUCUGUCCCCAUCCAACUCCACCCCUUUUAGGCCUCACCGGAACUCCUUCCCGGCCCAGGUCCCACCCACCACUCUCCACGCCCCUUGUAUGCUCCACCUACCCCAGCUCCGUUUGCUAGCCUG